RNAcentral lists this ribosomal RNA (92 nucleotides) under Hordeum vulgare subsp. spontaneum. Lineage: Eukaryota; Viridiplantae; Streptophyta; Magnoliopsida; Poales; Poaceae. The record is from RNAcentral.
GGAUCCCAUCAGAACUCCGAAGUUAAGCGUGCUUGGGCGAGAGUAGUACUAGGAUAGGUGACCUCCUGGGAAGUACUCGUGUUGCAUUCCCC